This 640-nucleotide long non-coding RNA is filed under the name Cyanistes caeruleus (blue tit). RNAcentral's name for it is "lncRNA (ENSCCEG00000016269.1)". Lineage: Eukaryota; Metazoa; Chordata; Aves; Passeriformes; Paridae. The record is from RNAcentral.
AUGCGUUUCAGGGAUGAGGAAACUGAGGAAGAGGAGCUAAACACCUUUGCAUGGUUCACAGGGAUUUGGUCACAGCAGAAGUUGUUGGAUUCAGGAGGCUACACCACCCCCAUCUGCACCUACACCACAAGCCCACACUUUCUCCUUUUGGUAUUACUGCAAUACAAAUGCUUCCUUUCUCUUAUGUGCUUGCCAAGAUCUGGAGCAGAAGCGUCAUAUUCUCAACUAUGCCAGUGGAUGUGGUCAUUCCAUUGUCAAGGUCUCCCAUGUGCAGGACAAACUCCAGGAAAGCUGCAGAGUGACAGUCUACCAGUGCUUGCCAGCAAUUCCAUUUGACAGCAUGUAAGCACAAGAUAUUGAAAACGGAGUGGGGAGUAAUGCUGCAUCUCAGCACAGGCUCCCAGGCACUGUCCUCUCAAACAGACAGUUGUAAAAACUCUGGGGUUUUGGGAUUAACUCUUUAGAGAUGCUUAUUAAACAGAACAGAUUAAAGCAGGUAUUGUUCUUAGUCCAACCUUUAUUAUGUUUACAUAAUGCUAAGUCAGAUGUGCUUGUUAAUCACUUUCAGUAGCAUUAACUUUUUUGACAUUGUACUUGUGUUGAUAUACAAAAUAAAAUAAUUUAUUGAAAUAAAAGGUCA